GAUGAACGCUGGCGGCGUGCCUAAUACAUGCAAGUCGAGCGAAUGGAUUGAGAGCUUGCUCUUAUGAAGUUAGCGGCGGACGGGUGAGUAACACGUGGGUAACCUGCCCAUAAGACUGGGAUAACUCCGGGAAACCGGGGCUAAUACCGGAUAACAUUUUGAACCGCAUGGUUCGAAAUUGAAAGGCGGCUUCGGCUGUCACUUAUGGAUGGACCCGCGUCGCAUUAGCUAGUUGGUGAGGUAACGGCUCACCAAGGCAACGAUGCGUAGCCGACCUGAGAGGGGGAUCGGCCACACUGGGACUGAGACACGGCCCAGACUCCGACGGGAGGCAGCAGUAGGGAAUCUUCCGCAAUGGACGAAAGUCUGACGGAGCAACGCCGCGUGAGUGAGGAAGGCUUUCGGGUCGUAAAACUCUGUUGUUAGGGAAGAACAAGUGCUAGUUGAAUAAGCUGGCACCUUGACGGUACCUAACCAGAAAGCCACGGCUAACUACGUGCCAGCAGCCGCAGUAA
This 515-nucleotide ribosomal RNA is filed under the name uncultured bacterium. RNAcentral's name for it is "partial 16S ribosomal RNA". It matches the Rfam family "Bacterial small subunit ribosomal RNA", at positions 28 to 523 of the family's 1533-position model. The record is from RNAcentral.